AAGUCGAGCGGUAGCACAGAGAGCUUGCUCUCGGGUGACGAGCGGCGGACGGGUGAGUAAUGUCUGGGAAACUGCCUGAUGGAGGGGGAUAACUACUGGAAACGGUAGCUAAUACCGCAUAACGUCGCAAGACCAAAGUGGGGGACCUUCGGGCCUCAUGCCAUCAGAUGUGCCCAGAUGGGAUUAGCUAGUAGGUGGGGUAACGGCUCACCUAGGCGACGAUCCCUAGCUGGUCUGAGAGGAUGACCAGCCACACUGGAACUGAGACACGGUCCAGACUCCUACGGGAGGCAGCAGUGGGGAAUAUUGCACAAUGGGCGCAAGCCUGAUGCAGCCAUGCCGCGUGUGUGAAGAAGGCCUUCGGGUUGUAAAGCACUUUCAGCGGGGAGGAAGGCGGUGAGGUUAAUAACCUCAUCGAUUGACGUUACCCGCAGAAGAAGCACCGGCUAACUCCGUGCCAGCAGCCGCGGUAAUACGGAGGGUGCAAGCGUUAAUCGGAAUUACUGGGCGUAAAGCGCACGCAGGCGGUCUGUCAAGUCGGAUGUGAAAUCCCCGGGCUCAACCUGGGAACUGCAUUCGAAACUGGCAGGCUAGAGUCUUGUAGAGGGGGGUAGAAUUCCAGGUGUAGCGGUGAAAUGCGUAGAGAUCUGGAGGAAUACCGGUGGCGAAGGCGGCCCCCUGGACAAAGACUGACGCUCAGGUGCGAAAGCGUGGGGAGCAAACAGGAUUAGAUACCCUGGUAGUCCACGCUGUAAACGAUGUCGAUUUGGAGGUUGUGCCCUUGAGGCGUGGCUUCCGGAGCUAACGCGUUAAAUCGACCGCCUGGGGAGUACGGCCGCAAGGUUAAAACUCAAAUGAAUUGACGGGGGCCCGCACAAGCGGUGGAGCAUGUGGUUUAAUUCGAUGCAACGCGAAGAACCUUACCUGGUCUUGACAUCCACAGAACUUUCCAGAGAUGGAUUGGUGCCUUCGGGAACUGUGAGACAGGUGCUGCAUGGCUGUCGUCAGCUCGUGUUGUGAAAUGUUGGGUUAAGUCCCGCAACGAGCGCAACCCUUAUCCUUUGUUGCCAGCGGUUAGGCCGGGAACUCAAAGGAGACUGCCAGUGAUAAACUGGAGGAAGGUGGGGAUGACGUCAAGUCAUCAUGGCCCUUACGACCAGGGCUACACACGUGCUACAAUGGCAUAUACAAAGAGAAGCGACCUCGCGAGAGCAAGCGGACCUCAUAAAGUAUGUCGUAGUCCGGAUUGGAGUCUGCAACUCGACUCCAUGAAGUCGGAAUCGCUAGUAAUCGUAGAUCAGAAUGCUACGGUGAAUACGUUCCCGGGCCUUGUACACACCGCCCGUCACACCAUGGGAGUGGGUUGCAAAAGAAGUAGGUAGCUUAACCUUCGGGAGGGC
This 1400-nucleotide ribosomal RNA is filed under the name Klebsiella variicola. Its description in RNAcentral is "bacterial SSU rRNA". It matches the Rfam family "Bacterial small subunit ribosomal RNA". Lineage: Bacteria; Pseudomonadati; Pseudomonadota; Gammaproteobacteria; Enterobacterales; Enterobacteriaceae. The record is from RNAcentral.